AAGGCAAGCGGAUCUCUUAAAGCCGUUCUCAGUUCGGGCUGUAGGCUGCAACUCGCCUACACGAAGCUGGAAUCGCGAGUAAUCGCGGAUCAGCACGCCGCGGUGAAUACGUUCCCGGGCCUUGUACACACCGCCCGUCACACCAUGAGAGUCUGUAACACCCAAAGCCGGUGGGAUAACCUUUAUAGGAGUCAGCCGUCUAAGGUAGGACAGAUGAUUAGGGUGAAGUCGUAACAAGGUACC
Molecule: ribosomal RNA, 243 nt
Filed under: uncultured bacterium
Lineage: Bacteria
Description: partial 16S ribosomal RNA
Rfam family: Bacterial small subunit ribosomal RNA
Source: RNAcentral